Molecule: long non-coding RNA, 7005 nt
Filed under: Gossypium barbadense (sea-island cotton)
Lineage: Eukaryota; Viridiplantae; Streptophyta; Magnoliopsida; Malvales; Malvaceae
Description: long non-coding RNA (GBAR_LNC002395)
Source: RNAcentral
CAAAAUACCGGUUUUCGGCAUUUAGGCUUUUCAACUUUUGCCGAUCUAGACUAAGAAAGAGGGUGUUAGUUACACAUCUGUUUGCGACGAUAUGCUGACGAGAUCCACACACGAACCGCCUACAAUUGAAUUACUAACACGUUAAUCUAACUAUUCAAAUACAAACUACGUAUUAACCCCUUAGAAUAUUCGGCCAACCACACCUACAGAUCAUAGUAAGCUUAUAAGAAAACAAUAAGCAACUCAUUAACAAAUUUUUGUCAAUGUUUACCACAUAACCAUAAUUUCACUGCAAGCUGUCUUCCUGAGCAACAAUCACUAAAUCAUUUAUAAUUGGAGCUAAGAAACUCCAAAUCAAGUUCCGUUAAUUUUCCUUGAAAAUAGACUCAUAUAUCUUCUAUCCAUAAAAUUUUCAGAAUUUUUUAUUUAGCCAAUCAAUACCAGAUUUUUCUCAAAGUUUCCCAUGUUUCACUGUUUGACUAAUCUGACCACUCUUCAUUACGAAUCAAAUUUCUCAUUUUACAGAAUUCAAAAUAUGUUCUUGUUUAUUUCAUUAGAAACUAGACUCAAUAAGCUUUAAUUACAUAAUUUAUUAAGAUUCUAAUUCAUCUCCCACAAUUUAUGGUGAUUUUCCAAAGUCACGUUACUGCUGUUGUCCCAAGCAGAUUUAUAACCAAAUCACUCUUUCAUACACCUAUCUCGCAUGCAUGUUAUUUAAACAUGUAUAUCACCAAUCAAUCAUCACAUAUCUAUGAUUUUUACUUAAGCAUAAUCUCCAUUUCAUCAUUUUAAAGCACAACAUGUUAGCCGAUUUUUCCCUUUAGCAUCUAAGGCACAUGCAUGCUCAUUUUUUUGGCUCAACUUCACAUAUCUUCCAUUUUUCAUCAAAAGAACAUGAAACAACAACCAUUUCCUUCAUUUUAAUUCAUGACUAAAUGCUCACAACACAACUAAAAAUCAAAAUAUACUUCAAGAGUUAAGGUAGAAUCAAGAAGAACUCAUGAACCUCAAAAUAGAAGCAAGGUACUAAGAACUUACCUUCAAUUUUCCUCCUCCUAAUGACCGAAUACUCAAGAGCUUUCUCCUCUCCUUUCUCUUCUCUAACUUUCAGCUAUGAUGAACAAAGAUGGACAAAACUUUGUUCUUUUCACCCCUUUUUCUUUUAAUAAAACUUCACAUUUCAUCCAUUUAACUCUUUAAUACAAAAGACAUGAAAUUCUUAUCAUGAAACAUUUACCUAACCCAUUAUCAUGAAACAUUUACCUAAUCCAUUAUCAUGGAACAUUUACCUAACCUAUUAUCAUGGAAUAUUUACCUAACCUAUUAUCAAUUUGUAUCAAUUUGUACCAUAAAUUAUGGAUAUCAAGUGCACAUUUUGUCUACAACAACAUGAUGGUUGGCUACUUCAUGUAAAAUGGGAGGUUUGUCAUGCAAAUCCUCCUAUUUUGCACUCCUAUUUAUUUGGCCACUUCAAUUUAGCUUAUAGCAUUUUCAAACAUUUUCACAUAGGUCCUAUUUCAUAAUUUCACUCCCUUUUUCUUAUGGAACAAAAAUUAACUAAAAUUACCGGGUUCUAUCUUAAGCUUGGGCCUUCUAGAGGCCCACUAACAUAAUUAAACCUAUGCCAACAUUCACAGGAUUCCCGAAAAUUGGGGCAUUACAACUCUACCCUCCUUAAAGAAAUUUCGUCCUCGAAAUUUACCUAAUCCAAACAGAUGAGGGUAUUGUUGUUGCAUCGUCUCUUCUGGCUCCCAAACUCAGAAGUUUCCCCUUCCUUAACUUGUUAAAAACAAGCGACCAAAGACUCAUCGUUCAACUGUUUUUCCUUAAUCUGAUCAGUCCAAAUAGGCCUCACUUGCAAUUCUGCUAACAGUCUUCCAUCAUCAAAUAGACUCAAACGUGCAAACAAGGCUCUCAAAUCAGAAACAACCCUUCGACUCAACGCAUCAGCCACCACAUUAGCCUUACCUGAGUGGUACUCAAUCGAACAGUCGUAAUCCUUAAGCAACUCUACCCAUCUUCGUUGCCUAAGGUUUAAUUCCUUCUGAGUUAACAGAUACUUUAGGCUCUUAUGGUCCGUGUAUAUGAUACACUUUUCUCCAUAUAAGUAAUGUCUCCAGAUUUUCAACGCGAAGAUCACUACUGCUAGCUCUAAGUCAUGCGUAGGGGAGUUCGCUUCAUGAGACUUAAGCUGCCGCAAAGCAUAAGCGACCACCUUACCCUCUUGCAUCAGUACACAUCCUAACCCCACAUGUGACGCAUCGCUAUACACAGUGAAGCCCUUCCCAGACUCCGGUUGAAUCAACACUGAUUCUUCAGUCAAUACAUUUUUCAAAUGGUCAAAAGCUUUUUGCUGACUCUCAGUCCAGACAAAUGCUACCCCUUUUUUUAACAGUUUCGUCAAUGGUGCAGCAAUCAUAGAAAAUCCUUCUACGAACCUUCGGUAAUAGCCUGCCAAACCCAAAAAACUUCGAAUUUUCGAUACUGAUUUUGGUGGCUUCCAUCCCAGAACUGCCUCAACUUUUCGAGGAUCCACUCUAAUUCCUUCAGCAGAAACCACAUGACCUAGAAAAGCCACUUCUCGCAACCAAAAUUCACACUUACUAAACUUUGCAUACAAUUCCUUCUCUCUCAGCACUUGCAGCACAAUACGUAGAUGCUCCUCAUGUUUCUCCUCGGUUACCGAGUAUACCAGAAUAUCAUCGAUGAAAACAACCACGAAUCGGUCCAAGUAAGGUUGGAACACUCGAUUCAUUAGAUCCAUGAAAGCGGCAGGUGCGUUCGUCAACCCAAACGGCAUAACCAGGAACUCGUAAUGACCAUAUCGAGUCCUGAAUGCUGUCUUAUGAAUAUCCACUUCCUUUACCCUUAACUGAUGGUAUCCAGAUCGAAGGUCAAUCUUGGAAAAUACCGAAGCUCUUCUAAGCUGAUCGACCAGAUCAUCAAUCCUUGGUAGUGGAUACUUAUUCUUAAUCGUCAGUUUGUUCAACUGGCGAUAAUCAAUACACAUCCGCAUCGUACCAUCCUUCUUUUUCACGAAUAGCACCAGUGCUCCCCAUGGAGAUACGCUUGGCCUAAUGAAGCCCCUAUCCAACAACUCUUGAAUUUGUGCAUUUAGCUCCACCAACUCCUUCAGUGCCAUUCUAUACGGUGCGAUAGACACUAGUGCCGUUCCAGGCAAUAAGUCGAUUCCAAACUCCACUUCUCGGUUCGGAGGCAAUCUUGGAAGCUCCUCCGGAAAAUAUCUUGGAACUCCUUUACAGUCCUAACCUUAUCCCCUGACAAUCCCUCCUCUUCUGACUGACUUACAAAUGCCAAAUAGGCCUCACAACCUUUCCGAAUCCACUUUUCGGCUCUUAAUGCCGACACCACAUUGGACAAAUAAUCUCUUCGCUCACCUAUCACCAUAACCUUUUCAUCCUUUGUGGUCUUUAACACCAUUCGUUUAUCAGCACAAUCCAGGGUCGCUUUAUGCUUAACAAGCCAGUCCAUUCCCAAAAUGAGAUCAAACUCUCCGAACGGUAACUCCAUCAGAUCUCCAGGGAAAAUCCUACCUUGAGUUUCUAAGGGUACAUCCCUAUACAGUUUGUCUACCCUAACCGAGUGACCCAAAGGACUUACUACAGAUACCCUACUCACAAUCUCCUCAGAGCAGUCCAAGUUGUCCAUAAUCCGUUCUGUGGUCUCCAACCAAUAUUCCGUCACAUUCGGGGCUAUACCAGACACGCCCCUAAAGAUCUCCGCUCCGUUAGCCCGAAGUCGUUCAGAAAUAGAUCCUCGAAUUUCGUUGCCCUAACUUGUCCCGGCAACCCUUUCCAGAACACGAAGCAUUGCCUGUGACAGGGCAUCAUCCUCGGCACCGCGGUCAUGAGACUCUACCUCUGUUGCCGGUGGUACCGGUGCAUCCACCGCCGGCAUAUGUCUCGAAGACGAAGAUCUCGCUCGAGCACUUCCUCGGCUCCCUCCACGGCCUCUUGUACUCAUAUCGUAUUAUCUUGAUUACGAAUUUUUAUGCAUCAAUUAAUAUUCCAGUGUUUAUUACAGAUGUUUUAUGAACCAGACAGUAGUUCAGAGUUUGUUUUUGCAGAAUCAAAGUCUAGCUAUAGUUUCAGUCUCUUGUCAGAUUUUCCUAUGGUUUCAGUAUCAUCCUAUCCAGAGUAUCCUAGCAGGAUUUCAGUACAGACAGAUAAGUCAGAAAAAUAUUUAGAAGAGUUCAGAGUAAUACUUACAGGCUUGGGCCGGAGAUUCGGAAUGCCACCUUCUAAAGAUCUAAAUUUUAAAAAUCGCAUUUUUCGCAAAAAAAAUUUGUUUUUGAAAAUCUUUGUUUUUUUGUAAACCCAUUCCACAGUCGAGUUGUUGCAACCUGGCUCUGAUACCACUAAAUGUAGCACCCCAAACCCGGCCCAAAAGUUAUGGCCGGAUCCGGCAUGCCACAUCAAAAAUGUUAAAAAAAAAAUUUCCAUUCUAAGUCCAGAAAAUCGUACUUGAUGUUCAAAAGAUUAAUUCAUUAAGGGUUAAAGUGAAUGGAAGCUGUGCACCAGGUAGGAAACCGAAAAAGAGGUGGUGAGUCCAUCGGACUGCUUAAGUACCAAGCUCCCUUCGGAUCCAAUCCUAGACAUGCAUACCGCCAUUGCCACACAUUAAUGUCAUGGAUAUUUCUAGGAAACCGAUUCGAUUAAGUCAUUUUUAGGAAAAGUGAUUAAUUUUGGAAAAUACUUUCAUUGCGGAAGCUUUGCUUGUUGUUGUGUUAUUUUGAAAUCAACUGUUGUUUUUGAAAACGCGCCCUAAAGCUAUCCAAUUUCAACAGUUAAAAUAAGUAUUACCUAUAUUAGUAAUACAUAUUAAAAACCAUCAAAAAUAAAUAAGCGGCCUUAUUACAUUUAAAAGCCCAAAACCUCAAACGUAAUUAAAAGGAUGUCCAAUUCACCAGAAGAAAAUCAAACUUUCAGAACGGGUGGCCACUCCGAAUUCCCUCACAGCUCCAAACCCACUAUGGUUGGGGAUUUCCUGCGUGGAUGAAAAUAAAAGGGGUGAGUUUGGGGAAACUCAGUGUGUAAGGAAAACCCAUUCAAAGCCCAAGUCAGCUCAAGCCCAUUGGGCCUAAGCCCAUUCAGGUAACAGUGAUACUGGGCCGGAGCCCUUUUCAGAUUACAAUAAACUGGGCCUUAGCCCCUUAUUCAGAUAACAGUAUGGCCCAUAGGCCCAUUUCAAAAUACAUGCAACAUCAAUAAACAUAUGCAAGCCCAUUUGGGGAGACUACUCAACCCACCAACCACUACACUCCACCCGUACCAGCCAUACACUCCAUGUGGGGAAUAGCUCAACCCACCCAGCCCAACACUCCACAGUUGCAGCCUUGCUGCUCAGUUAACAGUAAAUUGAGGCAAAGCCUCCAGUACGUGGACAAGCCACUUUCAGUACUUCCUCCGUCAAUAUCCCAGUCCCAUGCAUCAGAUAAUAACAACAUGGCAUGCAGUAAAUAACAACAGUCAAAUAUGCAUUUAGGUCAAUUUAACCCUAGGGGUAUUUCGGUAAUUUAUCUCUUAGGGGUAAAACUAUAAAUUUUCCACUUUUAAAGGUAUUUCAGUAAUUUAUCUAUUUUAGGGUUUUUCAUGCAUAUUCCUAAUUUUCACGUACUAACAGAAUCACGUACUGAGGGUUCUUACCGAAUUGGGCCCGUUGGCCCAUCAUUCCAAUUUUGGCCCAUUAAGCCCAAAAAUAUCGAGGGCACAGAAAUCAUGCACUUUGCAGUCCAAACAUUGCAGCUUACCAAAAACAUUAAUCGAUUUACCUCACGAGCAUCCGCACACUCGCAAAUCUACAAAAUACCAGUUUUUGGCAUUUCGGCUUUUCGACUUUUGCCGAUCUAGACUAAGAAAGAGGGUGUUAGUUACACAUCUGUUUGCGACGAUAUGCUGACGAGAUCCACACACGAACCGCCUACAAUUGAAUUACUAACACGUUAAUCUAACUAUUCAAAUACAAACUACGUAUUAACCCCUUAGAAUAUUCGGCCAACCACACCUACAGAUCAUAGUAAGCUUAUAAGAAAACAAUAAGCAACUCAUUAACAAAUUUUUGUCAAUGUUUACCACAUAAUCAUAAUUUCACUGCUAGCUGUCUUCCUGAGCAAUAGUCACUAAAUCAUUUAUAAUUGGAGCUAAGAUACUCCAAAUCAAGUUCCGUUAAUUUUCCUUGAAAAUAGACUCAUAUAUCUUCUAUCCAUAAAAUUUUCAGAAUUUUUUAUUUAGCCAAUCAAUACCAGAUUUUUCUCAAAGUUUCCCAUGUUUCACUGUUUGACUAAUCUGACCACUCUUCAUUACGAAUCAAAUUUCUCAUUUUAAAGAAUUCAAAAUAUGUUCUUGUUUAUUUCAUUAGAAACUAGACUCAAUAAGCUUUAAUUACAUAAUUUAUUAAGCUUCUAAUUCAUCUCCCACAAUUUAUGGUGAUUUUCCAAAGUCACGUUACUGCUGUUGUCCCAAGCAGAUUUAUAACCAAAUCACUCUUUCAUACACCUAUCUCGCAUGCAUGUUAUUUAAACAUGUAUAUCACCAAUCAAUCAUCACAUAUCUAUGAUUUUUACUUAAGCAUAAUAUCCAUUUCAUCAUUUUAAAGCACAACAUGUUAGCCGAUUUUUCCCUUUAGCAUCUAAGGCACAUGCAUGCUCAUUUGUUUGGCUCAACUUCACAUAUCUUCCAUUUUUCAUCAAAAGAACAUGAAACAACAACCAUUUCCUUCAUUUUAAUUUCAUGACUAAAUGCUCACAACACAACUAAAAAUCAAAAUAUACUUCAAGAGUUAAGGUAGAAUCAAGAAGAACUCAUGAACCUCAAAAUAGAAGCAAGGUACCAAGAACUUACCUUCAAUUUUCCUCCUCCUAAUGACCGAAUGCUCAAGAGCUUUCUCCUCUCCUUUCUCUUCUCUAACUUUCAGCUAUGAUGAACAAAGAUGGACAAAACUUUGUUCUUUUCACCCCUUUUUCUUUUAAUAAAACUUCAUAUUUCA